RNAcentral lists this long non-coding RNA (1505 nucleotides) under Piliocolobus tephrosceles (Ugandan red Colobus). RNAcentral's name for it is "lncRNA (ENSPTEG00000011880.1)". The record is from RNAcentral. Lineage: Eukaryota; Metazoa; Chordata; Mammalia; Primates; Cercopithecidae.
UAGAUAAACCGGACCAACCGAAAAUCAAACGUGAAGAGGGUAAGCGAUAUGUAUGUAAAGAUCAAGAUUUAGCAGUACAGAAUAUUUUUAUAUACGGUACAGGAGGAUAUUUUAUAUUUUCUUUUUUGAAUGGUUUAAUUGUGGAUUAUUUUGGAUCACGAAUUAGUAUGUUAAUAGGACAUAGUUUAAAUUUGUUAGGAUGGAUACUUUUAUUAAAUUCGAGUGAACAUUUUGAUUGUUUUAUACUUGCAGGUGUACUUAUAGCAGCUAGUGUUGAUUUAGGUUCAUUUGCUACAUUAAAUAUUGCAGGUUUAUACCCAGGUAAUGAAAAUUUAAUUGUUAAUAUUGUAUCUGGUGCAGGUUCCUUAUCUUGUGGUACUUUAGUAGUAUUAGAAAUAAUAAUAAGAAAAUGUAAUUUUACAUUUAGAACGUUUAUGUUAGUUUAUAUAUGUUUAACUGUUGGAAUUUUUUUUUUAUUAACUUUAUUUAUAUUUCCGAAAACAAGAUAUUUUAGACAAUACGAGUUUGAUAAUUAUUAUGAAAAUUAUGACAAUGAAUUAAAAAAUAUGAAUAACGCUCAAGAAAUUAAAUCCAAUGCAAGUAUUUCUAAAACUUUAAGUCUUACAAAAAAUCCAAACAAAUAUACAAAUUAUGAAAUGAAUAAAAUUAAUAGGGGUUUAUCAAACGAUUUAGAAAUUAAUGAUAACAAAAAAAUAAAUGACUUUCAUGGAAGUUUUGAUAAAAAUAAACAGAAUAAAUUUAUAGCUUUUUUUAAAUCAACUAGUUUUAAAGAUUUAUUAAAAAUAUGUACCUGUGCACACUUUUUAUGUUUACUUAUAUACGGACCAUUAAAUGCAAUAUAUAACACAUUUUAUUAUAGUGCAGUUGAAGAUAUUUUAUCAAAAGAUAAAAGCGAUUUAUUUGGAUAUUUAUUACCAUUUUCUUUUAUACCAUGUGUUAUCUUAGGAAAUAUAACAGAUAAAUUAGGUGUAAUGGUUAUGCUUUCUUAUGAGUUAUUUUUUGCUGCUACUAUGUAUUUAUUUACUUAUAUCAAAGGUGAAUUUUAUCAAUGGAUGUCUGUUAUUUCGAGUAUGUUAUACGCUGCUUGUGCAAAUGGACAAUUAUGGACGUUUGUUUCUUAUACAUUUUGUUCAAAAUAUCAUUCUACUUUAAUUGGUUUACUUAAUUUGGUUAGUGGUUUUGCAUCCUUGACGCGUAAUCCAUUGUUGGCAUGGGCGAAAGAUUCGAAUUUGGAUUUUACAUAUAUUAAUAUGGUCGUUUUAGGUUUAAUUGGAAUUAAUGUUCUUGUAACGAUUGCACUUAGCAUUAUCAGAAAAACAAAAGGACCUAAGGUUAUUUACGGAGAUGAAGAACAAACCGAAUUAUAGAUACAAACAAAAUGUCUACGUCCUUUACACAUGUGUUUAUGGACUCGUGUUUGUACACACUUGUAGAUAUAAGCACAUAUAUGCAUAUAUUUGCAUAUAUACAUAUAUGUGCUUAUA